RNAcentral lists this transfer RNA (72 nucleotides) under Daphnia galeata. It matches the Rfam family "tRNA". Rfam says of the family: Transfer RNA (tRNA) molecules are approximately 80 nucleotides in length. Their secondary structure includes four short double-helical elements and three loops (D, anti-codon, and T loops). Lineage: Eukaryota; Metazoa; Arthropoda; Branchiopoda; Diplostraca; Daphniidae. The record is from Rfam by way of RNAcentral.
GUUCCUAUAGUAUAGUGGUGAGUAUCCCCGCCUGUCACGCGGGAAACUGAGUUUCAAUUCCCCGUCGGAAAG